ACCUUCACCAUGGCAUGGUUGUUUGUGCCAGAUGGGCUGGUUUGAGUAUGCUGGACUGCACAUCACCUAGGAUUUUCACACACAACUGUCUCUUGAGUUUACACAGAAUGGUGUGAAAAAACAAAAAACAUCCAGUGAACAGCGGAUCUGUGGGUGGAAAUGCCUUGUUGAUGAGAGUGGAGAGGUCAGAGGAGAAUGGCAAGACUGGUUCAAGCACUGAAACUCUGCUGUGUGUUGUUUGAAGUUCAGGCUUUAUUCAGCAAGCUUGCGGUGAGCCUCCUGGCUUUUGCUUUCUCUUCUGCCAUGGCCUGGAGUCAAUCCCCAUUUUGACUGUACUGCUGCCUCUAAAAAUGGGUCACGGGGAACCUGAAGCCUAUCCCACAAGAUGGCACAAGACGGUGUACACCCAGAUGCUGCUUUUAUUCAAAAACUAAAAAUAAGAGGCAAAAUAUUUAGUUGACGUUACUAAGUAGAGUCAGAAGAGAAGAAAAAACAAUUAACAUCAACUCUGUUUUGCUGAGAGAGUCAGCAAUUCUCUUCAUGAACAGGUGUUCAGUUUCUAAUUAUAACCUUUAAUCAGAGGCUGUCUUUGAUUGGUUUUAAGAGAGGAGAGAGGAGUGAAAAGGGCAAGGAGUGAAAAGGGCAAGCAAUCAGAAUAUUCUCAGUUGUACAGUAUAUAUUUUCAUCUUGGCAUGGGAGAAAAUGAUUGAAUGUGUUUUUCCCCCUAAUUAUUUUAUCUUUUACUAAAGUUACUUAAACCAGUUUGAAUUACACUACACAUGACUCCUUGCGCAGUAAAUAGUUGAGCUGAGUGGUGAGAAUGAAGCAAGCUCACUUUGAGCUCUCUGCAAAAAUCCUUUUGUUCUGCUAUAUAAAGGAAGUU
Long non-coding RNA from Ictalurus punctatus (channel catfish), 883 nucleotides. RefSeq lists it as uncharacterized. NCBI's taxonomy places the organism in Eukaryota, Metazoa, Chordata, Actinopteri, Siluriformes, Ictaluridae. The transcript is spliced from 4 exons. The record is from RefSeq and is a predicted model, not a curated record.